AUUUGAAAUCUGGCGUAAGCCCGAGUUGUAAUUUGUAGAGGAUGCUUCUGGGUAGCGGCCGGUCUAAGUUCCUUGGAACAGGACGUCAUAGAGGGUGAGAAUCCCGUAUGUGACUGGCUUGCACCCUCCACGUAGCUCCUUCGACGAGUCGAGUUGUUUGGGAAUGCAGCUCUAAAUGGGAGGUAAAUUUCUUCUAAAGCUAAAUACCGGCCAGAGACCGAUAGCGCACAAGUAGAGUGAUCGAAAGAUGAAAAGCACUUUGGAAAGAGAGUUAAAAAGCACGUGAAAUUGUUGAAAGGGAAGCGCCCGCAACCAGACUUUGCGGCGGUGUUCGGCUGGUCUUCUGACCGGUUUACUCGCCGCCGUGAGGCCAUCAUCGUCUGGGACCGCUGGAUAAGACCUGAGGAAUGUAGCUCCCUUCGGGGUGUGUUAUAGCCUCUGGUGAUGCAGCGCGUCUCGGGCGAGGUCCGCGCUUCGGCAAGGAUGAUGGCGUAAUGGUUGUCGGCGGCCCGUCUUGAAACACGGACCAAGGAGUCUAACAUCUAUGCGAGUGUUCGGGUGUCAAACCCCUACGCGUAAUGAAAGUGAACGGAGGUGGGAACUUUUUGUGCACCAUCGACCGAUCCUGAUGUCCUCGGAUGGAUUUGAGUAAGAGCAUAGCUGUUGGGACCCGAAAGAUGGUGAACUAUGCCUGAAUAGGGUGAAGCCAGAGGAAACUCUGGUGGAGGCUCGCAGCGGUUCUGA
RNAcentral lists this ribosomal RNA (744 nucleotides) under Pseudocercospora euphorbiacearum. RNAcentral describes it as "eukaryotic LSU rRNA". It matches the Rfam family "Eukaryotic large subunit ribosomal RNA", at positions 113 to 889 of the family's 3401-position model. Lineage: Eukaryota; Fungi; Ascomycota; Dothideomycetes; Mycosphaerellales; Mycosphaerellaceae. The record is from RNAcentral.